RNAcentral lists this ribosomal RNA (380 nucleotides) under uncultured eukaryote. RNAcentral's name for it is "partial 18S ribosomal RNA". It matches the Rfam family "Eukaryotic small subunit ribosomal RNA", at positions 592 to 976 of the family's 1831-position model. The record is from RNAcentral.
CAAUAGCGUAUAUUAAAGUUGUUGCGGUUAAAAAGCUCGUAGUUGGAUUUCUGCUGAGAACGACCGGUCCGCCCUCUGGGUGUGUAUCUGGCUCUUUCUUGGCAUCUUCUUGGUGAACGUUGCUGCACUUGACUGUGUGGAGCGCUACCCAGGACUUUUACUUUGAGGAAAUUAGAGUGUUUCAAGCAGGCAUACGCCUUGAAUACAUUAGCAUGGAAUAAUAAGAUAGGACCUCGGUUCUAUUUUGUUGGUUUCUAGAGCUGAGGUAAUGAUUAAUAGGGAUAGUUGGGGGCAUUCGUAUUUAACUGUCAGAGGUGAAAUUCUUGGAUUUGUUAAAGACGGACUCCUGCGAAAGCAUUUGCCAAGGAUGUUUUCAUUGA